GGGGGCGUAAAGGUUUCGACGGGGAUUGUGAGGCACAGUAAGCGAGUAGCGGUGCGGACCCGCUAUAAAAGCCGUAACUUUAAAAAAUAAACGACAACAAUACUGUUGCUGUUGCAGCCUAAUUAGGCUGCCGUCCUUACCUGGAGUACCGCGACCGGGAUAAGGGCGUCGAUUAGCGGUGAACGUGAACGGAAGAAAGCCGCGGCUCCCGUCAUGACCUAGCGGCUACCGCAGCCGGAAGCCUGCCCUUUGGCGUCCGGUGAGGGGAAUCCUAAACAAUGGGCUGCACUCGGAGAAAGCUGUGUCAAGUGAUUUUCGGACAGGGGUUCGACUCCCCUCGCCUCCACCA
This 349-nucleotide transfer-messenger RNA is filed under the name human gut metagenome. It matches the Rfam family "transfer-messenger RNA". From Rfam's summary of the family: Bacterial tmRNA, also known as 10Sa RNA or SsrA, is named for its dual tRNA and mRNA-like properties. The record is from RNAcentral.